AGCGAACGUUAGCGGCGCGCCUAACACAUGCAAGUCGCACGAGAAAGGGAGCAAUCCCCGGUACAGUGGCGCACGGGUGAGUAACACGUAGAUGACCUUCCCUGGAGUGGUGGAUAACCUGCCGAAAGGCGGGCUAAUACAGCAUGGGACCACAUGGUUUUGACCGAGUGGUGAAAGCGGGCCUCUGUUCACAAGCUCGCGCUCUGGGAUGGGUCUGCGUCCCAUCAGCUAGUUGGUGAGGUAAUGGCUCACCAAGGCAUCGACGGGUAGCUGGUCUGAGAGGAUGACCAGCCACACUGGAACUGAGACACGGUCCAGACUCCUACGGGAGGCAGCAGUGGGGAAUCUUGCGCAAUGGGCGAAAGCCUGACGCAGCGACGCCGCGUGGGUGAUGAAGGCCUCGG
Molecule: ribosomal RNA, 404 nt
Filed under: uncultured bacterium
Lineage: Bacteria
Description: bacterial SSU rRNA
Rfam family: Bacterial small subunit ribosomal RNA
Source: RNAcentral